UACGUAGGGUGCAAGCGUUGUCCGGAAUUAUUGGGCGUAAAGAGCUCGUAGGCGGUCUGUUGCGUCGGCUGUGAAAACCCGGGGCUCAACCCCGGGCCUGCAGCCGAUACGGGCAGACUAGAGUUCGGCAGGGGAGACUGGAAUUCCUGGUGUAGCGGUGAAAUGCGCAGAUAUCAGGAGGAACACCGGUGGCGAAGGCGGGUCUCUGGGCCGAUACUGACGCUGAGACGCGAAAGCGUGGGGAGCAAACAGG
Molecule: ribosomal RNA, 253 nt
Filed under: uncultured bacterium
Lineage: Bacteria
Description: partial 16S ribosomal RNA
Rfam family: Bacterial small subunit ribosomal RNA
Source: RNAcentral